CAUUACAAUACCAAAACAGUACAUAUCCCCUGUACAACGUCUUCAGCUUCAACUUCCCUCUCCACUGUGCGAUUUCAGCAGUCCGUUUCCAGCCAUCAAGCACGCGUUUUCGUCCUUGCCAACGUGAGAUCGCUCCACGUGGCAUCUCAAGGACAUUAGAGUCGACUUGAGACGUCGAUUCGGCCUUUCCCCUUCCGGAAUAGGGCAAAAAUUUCAGAAAAAGCAUGCCUCCCUUCAAUGGUGAAAGGUUUUGAAAUUUGAAUUUCGAAUGGAACCGAUUCUCAUCCGGAUUCCAUCCGAUUCCCCCCAAAAUAUGCCCUAAUAAUCCCUUAUAUAUAUUCUCUUCUUAGUCACUGUUUGGGGGGCGAAGGAGAAGAAUAUACAACUGUUCAUCAGAAAAUAAUUUUUGCUAGAGAAAUUAAAAGCUAUCCGAAUCCCAGACAUUUUGGGAACUAAAAAUCACUGUUCGUAUUGUUCUUGUUUCGUUUCCGGCGAAGUUAAGCUCGUAGUCGUGGUGGGAGUUGUGCUCUUCUCGUCUGUCCCAGAUUUGCUGCACUACAAGAGAGUCUAAAUCGGACUCCUUUCAUCAUCUCCUUGCAUUUUCGAGUAUUGAGUCAGCCUUUGGUGUUCGAGGGUGAAAGGGAAAUUGAUAUACAGGUUCCGGAAGCAGAAGCAGGUCCUGAAAAGCUGAAAACAAGCUGAUGUACAGCCCGUAUACACUGAUAUAUGGGUUGAAUGCAGCAAAUACAGGCCCUAAACCAAUUUAUAGGGGUUCAAAAGCUAAUUUAGGUUGUAUACAUUUGGUAUAUAGCCUAAUAUACA
This is a long non-coding RNA of Solanum tuberosum (potato), 822 nucleotides long. RefSeq lists it as uncharacterized. The transcript has 2 exons. The record is from RefSeq and is a predicted model, not a curated record. Lineage: Eukaryota; Viridiplantae; Streptophyta; Magnoliopsida; Solanales; Solanaceae.